UUCUCCUACUCCCCAUUAGAACAAAUAAAAGUCUCGUCCACUAAAUAACACACAAAUGGCCACUUUGUCUAGCUAGUAAACAACACACAAAUGACCAUCUUGUCUGGCACGAGACGCACCAUGUCAUACCACAUUUUGCCACUAAACAAUGAAAGAUAAUAUUUGUUUUAAGUAAAAAUGCUAAUUUUAUAAAAAUCUAAAAAUUUUAAAAUUUUAUUUUAUUGAAAAAUCAGGCCUAUUUAUUUUCCGGUCAUAAAAUU
RNAcentral lists this long non-coding RNA (260 nucleotides) under Ananas comosus (pineapple). RNAcentral describes it as "long non-coding RNA (ACOM_LNC008002)". Lineage: Eukaryota; Viridiplantae; Streptophyta; Magnoliopsida; Poales; Bromeliaceae. The record is from RNAcentral.